This 465-nucleotide ribosomal RNA is filed under the name Vreelandella stevensii. Its description in RNAcentral is "partial 16S ribosomal RNA". It matches the Rfam family "Bacterial small subunit ribosomal RNA", at positions 338 to 795 of the family's 1533-position model. The record is from RNAcentral. Lineage: Bacteria; Pseudomonadati; Pseudomonadota; Gammaproteobacteria; Oceanospirillales; Halomonadaceae.
CCUACGGGUGGCUGCAGUGGGGAAUAUUGGACAAUGGGCGAAAGCCUGAUCCAGCCAUGCCGCGUGUGUGAAGAAGGCCUUCGGGUUGUAAAGCACUUUCAGUGGGGAAGAAAGCCUUGGGGCUAAUACCCUCGAGGAAGGACAUCACCCACAGAAGAAGCACCGGCUAACUCCGUGCCAGCAGCCGCGGUAAUACGGAGGGUGUGAGCGUUAAUCGGAAUUACUGGGCGUAAAGCGCGCGUAGGCGGUCUGAUAAGCCGGUUGUGAAAGCCCCGGGCUCAACCUGGGAACGGCAUCCGGAACUGUCAGGCUAGAGUGCAGGAGAGGAAGGUAGAAUUCCCGGUGUAGCGGUGAAAUGCGUAGAGAUCGGGAGGAAUACCAGUGGCGAAGGCGGCCUUCUGGACUGACACUGACGCUGAGGUGCGAAAGCGUGGGUAGCAAACAGGAUUAGAUACCCGUGUAGUC